This 253-nucleotide ribosomal RNA is filed under the name uncultured bacterium. RNAcentral describes it as "partial 16S ribosomal RNA". It matches the Rfam family "Bacterial small subunit ribosomal RNA", at positions 524 to 776 of the family's 1533-position model. The record is from RNAcentral.
UACAGAGGGUGCGAGCGUUAAUCGGAAUUACUGGGCGUAAAGCGUGCGUAGGUGGUUUGUUAAGUCUGAUGUGAAAGCCCUGGGCUCAACCUGGGAAUGGCAUUGGAUACUGGCGAGCUAGAGUGCGGCAGAGGGUAGUGGAAUUCCCGGUGUAGCAGUGAAAUGCGUAGAGAUCGGGAGGAACAUCUGUGGCGAAGGCGACUACCUGGACCAGCACUGACACUGAGGCACGAAAGCGUGGGGAGCAAACAGG